RNAcentral lists this ribosomal RNA (253 nucleotides) under uncultured bacterium. RNAcentral's name for it is "partial 16S ribosomal RNA". It matches the Rfam family "Bacterial small subunit ribosomal RNA", at positions 524 to 776 of the family's 1533-position model. The record is from RNAcentral.
UACGGGGGGGGCGAGCGUUGUUCGGAAUUACUGGGCGUAAAGGGUGCGUAGGCGGCUCUCUAAGUCGGAUGUGAAAACUCUGGGCUCAACCCAGAGCCUGCAUCUGAAACUGGAGGGCUAGGGUUUUGGAGGGGAAAGCGGAAUUCCAGGUGUAGCGGUGAAAUGCGUAGAUAUCAGGAGGAACACCAAUGGCGAAGGCAGCUCGCUGGGACGGUACUGACGCUGAGACGCGAAAGCGUGGGGAGCAAACAGG